AUUUCCAGUUUUAGUUUUGACAGCAUUCCUAGAACUAGCUCCUUAGGGUUUUUUAAAGACACCAACGCCAACCAGCAAGCGCCCCCUACUGAGCGGUCUAGGUCCCAGCUCUGAGAAGCCACUCAAGUUUCUAAGUUUAUGGAACAUCUAAAGAACAAAUUCAUCUGGCUCUCAUACAGUUUUUAGGAUACUACUUUGAUUGACAUUUCAGUUUCUUUUAGAUCUAUAUCUUCUAUUUUUCUUGAGGCUAUUUUGAUAAUUAUUUCUUAAGAUAUUAUCAAUUUUCAUCUAGAUAAAAAAAUAUAUCAUUUUAUGUAUUUUUAAAUUC
Long non-coding RNA from Homo sapiens (human), 328 nucleotides. The record is from Ensembl. Lineage: Eukaryota; Metazoa; Chordata; Mammalia; Primates; Hominidae.